This 253-nucleotide ribosomal RNA is filed under the name uncultured bacterium. RNAcentral's name for it is "partial 16S ribosomal RNA". It matches the Rfam family "Bacterial small subunit ribosomal RNA", at positions 524 to 776 of the family's 1533-position model. The record is from RNAcentral.
UACAGAGGGGGCGAGCGUUGUUCGGAAUUACUGGGCGUAAAGGGCGCGUAGGCGGCCAACUAAGUCAGACGUGAAAUCCCUCGGCUCAACCGGGGAACUGCGUCUGAUACUGGAUGGCUUGAAUACGGGAGAGGGAUGCGGAAUUCCAGGUGUAGCGGUGAAAUGCGUAGAUAUCUGGAGGAACACCGGUGGCGAAGGCGGCAUCCUGGACCGAGAUUGACGCUGAUGCGCGAAAGCCAGGGGAGCAAACGGG